Molecule: transfer RNA, 91 nt
Filed under: Candidatus Endolissoclinum faulkneri L2
Lineage: Bacteria; Pseudomonadati; Pseudomonadota; Alphaproteobacteria; Rhodospirillales; Rhodospirillaceae
Description: tRNA-Ser (GCT) (tRNA-Ser-GCT-1-1)
Rfam family: tRNA
About the family: Transfer RNA (tRNA) molecules are approximately 80 nucleotides in length. Their secondary structure includes four short double-helical elements and three loops (D, anti-codon, and T loops). Further hydrogen bonds mediate the characteristic L-shaped molecular structure. tRNAs have two regions of fundamental functional importance: the anti-codon, which is responsible for specific mRNA codon recognition, and the 3' end, to which the tRNAs corresponding amino acid is attached (by aminoacyl-tRNA synthetases). tRNAs cope with the degeneracy of the genetic code in two manners: having more than one tRNA (with a specific anti-codon) for a particular amino acid; and 'wobble' base-pairing, i.e. permitting non-standard base-pairing at the 3rd anti-codon position.
Source: RNAcentral
GGAGGGGUGGCCGAGAGGCUGAAGGCGACGGUUUGCUAAACCGUUUUAGGGUUAACUCCUAACGUGGGUUCGAAUCCCAUCCCCUCCGCCA